UACGGAGGGUGCAAGCGUCAAUCGGAAUUACUGGGCGUAAAGCGCGCGUAGGCGGCUGAUUAAGUCGGAUGUGAAAUCCCUGGGCUUAACCUAGGAACUGCAUACGAUACUGGUCAGCUAGAGUAUGAGAGAGGGAGGUAGAAUUCCACGUGUAGCGGUGAAAUGCGUAGAUAUGUGGAGGAAUACCGGUGGCGAAGGCGGCCUCCUGGCUUAAUACUGACGCUGAGGUGCGAAAGCGUGGGGAGCAAACAGG
Molecule: ribosomal RNA, 253 nt
Filed under: uncultured bacterium
Lineage: Bacteria
Description: partial 16S ribosomal RNA
Rfam family: Bacterial small subunit ribosomal RNA
Source: RNAcentral